GGAGGAGGGGGCCGUGUGGAAACGGUGCGGGGCUUUGGGUUGGAUAUUAGGAAGAAGUUUUUCACACAGAGGUGGUGCCACUCUGGAACAGGUUGCCCGAGGAGGCUGUGGAUGCCCCAUCCCUGGAGGCAUUCAAGGCCACGCUGGAUGUGGUUCUGGGCAGCCUGGUCUGGAGGUUGGCAACCCUGCACAUAGCAGGGAGGUUGAAAGUCAAUGAUCAUUGUGGUCCUUUUCAACCAAGCCCAUUCUACGAUUCUAUGCACUAGAUUAGGCUGGCCAUGGUUCCUAUCCAACCUAGCCUCUUUUUAUGCCUUACAACUUAGCCACUUUGUACGUCUCUUUUCAGAAAGAAAACAAAGAUAUACCGAUUCAGACUACUUUAACACUUCCAUGCAAAUGCACUCUUCUAAUAUUUUUUAAAUGGAUCUUUUUGUUUUGUUUUUGCUCUGAGAAUUCUUCCUUCCACUCUAACACAUUGGUAAAAUGAAAGGCUGUCUAGUACUGCAUUAAUGGGUAUCAUUCAUGCCAGUUCACUAGUAUGGAUGGAUACUAUACUCCCUGAAAUGAAUGGUCAUUAGAUAUUUCCUCAGAAAUCUUCAUUUUUUCACAGAGUUAUUCAAGUAAUUUAUUUUUUACCAAGUCAGCAGCUAUAUAUCUGCUGAUGGAAAGAGAAUCCAUGUUCUGGAAAAGAAAACAUGUGUGCAGCGAUUUUUUCAAGAUUUUGGUCACAAGCCCAAGAUCACUCAGAUAAUUACAUUCACUGGCAUUCAUCGACGUUUGCUGAACAUUUAUGGAGACCAAACAGUGGAUGUGAAUACAGUGAUGAAGUGGGUGGUGCAUUUCAACAGUGGCAACACUGACAGUGGGUCACCUCCAGUGGUGCAGAUUUUUACAAGUGCAGCAUGCAGGCUCUUGUUCAUGGCUGGCAAAAAUGCAUAGUUGAUGGUG
RNAcentral lists this long non-coding RNA (948 nucleotides) under Gallus gallus (chicken). RNAcentral describes it as "lncRNA (ENSGALG00010005072.1)". The record is from RNAcentral. Lineage: Eukaryota; Metazoa; Chordata; Aves; Galliformes; Phasianidae.